UCUAAUUAGUAAUUUCCUUCUUUCCAUCUUCAGAACCAAGUUAUUGCGAACAUUUGAUUUGAUAACAUGGCAAGUGAAAUGGCAGGUCGGAACUUCCGGCUGAGGGGCCGGCGGCCGGGAAGAAGCCUCCGGGCAGGCUGCAGAGGAAGUGGACGUUUUGGUUUGACAGCCAGUCGAAGCAAAGCAGGGCGUGACGCAGGGAACUUCACUUCGCAAAUUCUACACUUUCGGAACCGUAGAAGAAUUCAGGUGGUUUAGCGAAUAAGAAAAAUCAGCAUACACCAAUUGCCUGUCGCUUAUGUGAUGAAAUUUUCUUUGACAACAAAAGGCUUGUAAACCACUUCCAGUCUCAUUUUCAUCGAGAUGGAACUUUUAAUCCAAGAUCACUGGUUGGAAGCUCUGUGUCACCGGAGAAUGGUAUAAAAUUCUAUCAGGGUCCUUCGCAAUAUAAUCAUUCUUUGUCAGCGCCAGUGGAUGUUUGUAACUCAAUUGCAAAUGGUCACCUAGGGCCAUGUGCUUGGCAAAACAUUCCCCAAAACCCAGCAAGUGUAUUUCUGGGUAAGUAUCAGGUUUCACCAAUGUCAAAAGAUUCAACCAGAAUGAGUGGGCCUACCUUGACCCAUGGGUCUCAUUCCUAUCCAUCACCAUCAAUUUUCUGCUCAUCCAUAGGCCCUGGUGCAUUUGCCUCGCCACUUAACCAGUCCUCGAACUUCCAUUCGAGAUUUGCCUCCCAGACUACUGGACCACAAAACUUUCGUUCUACUGUAAGGCCUAUAUCACCUGGUGUCUUUACUUCACGAGCUACCCAGAUCUCCAACUUCCAUUUCCCUAUGAAUCCUGGUACAUCUGCUUCACAACUUAUCCAGCAAUCAAGCUUCGAUUCACCCAACAAAGGUGCCUGUGCUUCAGAAUCUGUUGCAGGUACCAGUUGUCUUGCUCUUGAUGCAACAACCAGUUAUCUCCCUCAAACAGCUGUGGAAAAUCAGGUUGAGGGUCCUUUCAAUGGCUAUACAAAGCCAUAUAUCAUGGAACUAGAACAGCCCAUUGAAGAGAUGAGGGGCCAUACUGACGUGGGUGGUAAUAGCAACCUUGAUGAGAUGGAUCUCACCUUGAAACUUUAAUAACUGUCAUUUGUAUUUCUAGUGGAUAAUAAAUGGACUUGAGAGUGUCUUAGUUUGAAUAUUUCUUCGUUUUCUUCUUAACAUCAUGACAUUCAGAUGUUUGCUUAUCUAAUUAUUUAUUAUUGAGUUCUCCGUGAACAAGGACUCUUUUGAAAGGUUUAAUGUCCACUAGAUUUUUGGACACAUAAUAAAGUGAUUACUUUAGCACAUUUAUGGAUUUUCCACCCAAAGGAAAUGCACAUAGUUCUUUUACUCUCUAUGCGUACGCAUAGUCUAUUAUUUAUCUCCGUUCUUAUUUCAUUGCAGUAAGCCCAAGCUCCACCGUAGAGCAUCUAUUAUUUAUCAUCACAUGUUUUUUAUCACACGACUGAACAUCUUAGAUUGGUUUAUCUCUCUUAGUUAGGUGUGUUAAAUGUUGUCUGGAUUUUCUAUUAACUUAUACAAUACAAGUCUGACAAUGAUGGCAGCUUCAUUCUCCUAUCUUCACUGUUUUAUUCUUUUAUCUAUGUUAAUAACCCUUCUGUAGGACUUCAUCUGAGUACCGGAUUCUACUCUCUAUGAUGAUAUUCAAAAUAUUAACCUGAAUAAGAAAAUUUUCCAUCAUUUUUUGGAAUAUUUACUUGUUUCGUGAAGCUUUCUGCCAAUAUUAGAGCAACAGUCUCUUACAUAAGAAUUUAGGAUAGAUUUUGAAAUGUUGGGUUUAUAUAUCCUUCAUUUCAAAUGUCACCUUUACAUCUGUUCUUUCCUCUCUGGAAAAGGGAAUCCACUUGAUGAAGGAUGUGUGUUAAGGCCUUAAUUUCCAUGUUACUCUUAUUUCUUUGUUGAACAGCAAGACAAAGGAACUAAAAGUGCAUCUUUAAGUUUAAAUGCUCUUCAAAAAACUAAAUCCCUUUGUUCAGUAAUAUAAGCACAGAAACAAAAAUAGGGUUACUGCGAGUUACUUGGAACAGCUCCUUAUUGCUUUUCCUGAAUGCUUAGAUUGAUCGAGUAGGUUAGUAGACAGUUGAUUUGUCAUACUCUUUCUUACUGGAACUAUAGGGAACUAGUAACUACAGUAAAUGGUAUAAAGCUGUCAUUACACGUGAAGGAAGAUGGUUCUCUUGCAGUUAUACUUUUACCGCCAGGUUUCCAGACCCAACAACUAGCCAGGAAAUGCUGACUUCCACUUAUUCAGAGCUGAGUGGAGCACCCAAGUUUUCUGAUGGGGGCAAGUAGGCUGUUACUAGAAGCCGAAAGGCUGAUCUGGAUAACUCGCGGCCUGAAAUGACAAGAAAACUUUACAUCUUCUGUCCUUGUUCCUAAGUGUCUGAAUCUUGAUAAAUGAGUACUAAGGGCUUCCCCUUGUGAUAAUUUCAGGUGGAAAAGACCAGCAAAAAGUCGAGACAGUCACCACUGAAGAAUGCAGCUGGACUAAUGAGUCAAAACAUUCAUCUCAGAUUACAAGGGAACUCAGCUGAAGAAGAGCAAUGGCUUUUCCUCUAAGCUGGUUGAACCUCUUCUUCCCAAUAAUAUUACGCGUGACAACAACAAGUGGAGCAAAAACACCCUUUCCUUCAUUAACAUUCUUCAUCAUCGGCUGU
Non-coding RNA from Sesamum indicum (sesame), 2701 nucleotides. The record is from RefSeq and is a predicted model, not a curated record. Lineage: Eukaryota; Viridiplantae; Streptophyta; Magnoliopsida; Lamiales; Pedaliaceae.